Molecule: ribosomal RNA, 802 nt
Filed under: Hyphopichia burtonii
Lineage: Eukaryota; Fungi; Ascomycota; Pichiomycetes; Serinales; Debaryomycetaceae
Description: SSU rRNA
Rfam family: Eukaryotic small subunit ribosomal RNA
Source: RNAcentral
UCUAAGUAUAAGCAUUUAUACAGUGAAACUGCGAAUGGCUCAUUAAAUCAGUUAUCGUUUAUUUGAUAGUACCUACUAGAUGGAUAACCUCGGUAAAUCUGACGCUAAUACAUGCAUAAAAUCCCAACCUCUGGAAGGGAUGUAUUUAUUAGAUAAAAAAUCAAUGCCUUCGGGCUCUUUGAUGAUUCAUAAUAACUUGUCGAACCGCAUGGCUUUAGCUGGCGGUGGUUCAUUCAAAUUUCUGCCCUAUCAACUUUCGAUGGUAGGAUAGUGGCCUACCAUGGUUUCAACGGGUAACGGGGAAUAAGGGUUCGAUUCCGGAGAGGCAGCCUGAGAAACGGCUACCACAUCCAAGGAAGGCAGCAGGCGCGCAAAUUACCCAAUCCCGACACGGGGAGGUAGUGACAAUAAAUAACGAUACAGGGCCCUUUCGGGUCUUGUAAUUGGAAUGAGUACAAUGUAAAUACCUUAACGAGGAACAAUUGGAGGGCAAGUCUGGUGCCAGCAGCCGCGGUAAUUCCAGCUCCAAGAGCGUAUCUUAAAAUUGUUGCAGUUAAAAAGCUCGUAGUUGAACCUUGGGUCUGGCUGGCCGGUCCGCUUUUAUGCGAGUACUGGACCCAGCCGGGCCUUUCCUUCUGGCUAGCCCUCGUGGCGAACCAGGACUUUUACUUUGAAAAAAUUAGAGUGUUCAAAGCAGGCCUUUGCUCGAAUAUAUUAGCAUGGAAUAAUAGAAUAGGACGUUAUGGUUCUAUUUUGUUGGUUUCUAGGACCAUCGUAAUGAUUAAUAGGAACGGUCGGGGGC